GAGAUCGUGCAUGUCACUGAUAAUGUAACAAAAACAAACACAUUUUUCAAAACGUAGUUAAGUAUUCAGAUAGUGAGUAUGAUUUAAGUAGAAAUUCAAUACUUUAAACCAUAUUGCGGAAGUUUAAAUUAUUGAAAAAUACCUGAACGGUUCCCAAAAUUUUUCAUGUCCUUUUUAAAUAAGUGGAUGACCUUGGAUUAUUUGGCUGUGAUAACACAAAUGUCUUGACGGUUAAUCAAGUUCUAUUUCUGACUAUAAAUGGAAAACGUUAAAGACAAAAUAAAGAAAGACCGUUACAGAAACUGGGUCAAGAGCACCCUAGGCCUUGAGCAAACGAACAGAGCAGUCUAUGAAUAUGUAAAAGAGAAGUUCCGAUUGUACACCCAUGGAAAUGCGCAAGGCUUGAACCCUAAUGUGUUGUUUACACAAAAGGAAAUCUCCCAUAUUUCGAGCGGAGCAGGAUCUUCUAUCCGACAAAACCUUUCCAAAAGUAUUAGGUACGACAACAAUUCAAAAACAUACAAAUGGAAGAAAUCUACGACGGACAAUUGCACUGAAUGUGAAACAUCAUUUCAAAAGUUGUUAUUACUUCAUAACAAACAGGCUGGUCAGGUCUUACACUGGGCUAACAGCAAUGAUACAAGUAACAUAACCCUAGAAUGGGCAAUCGCCAAAAUGUUUAUGCCACAGGGAAACGAAAACAACGACGGACCAGAAGAUACCGAUCCUUAUGCCAUGUUCCAUAUCAUGGAAAUGUGCCUACUUUUCCGAAAUCAUAUAAGAGCAUCCAAACUGAAAAAGAUUUUCUCAUAGUCACAAAGUCUGGCUCUUACAUUUAAAUUCUACAAGAUACGUACAUCACUGUACUUUGUUCCUUUAUAUAUUAACAGAAUUUCGUAUUAUCAGCAGCGGCAUAAAUAACGGAGGUCAUAACUACUUUGAAAGUUGCUAAUUUAAAUAAUCAUGCAUGAUAGAUAUCCGGAAUUUUAUUGUUCUUUUUUAUUUCUUAAACUUAAAAAUAGAAUGUCAUGUUAGCUUUAGAUCGAUCACCUGAGCUCCACAGAUUGCUUAGAUAACUUUGGUACAUUGUCGUGCAUAGGAAAAAUUAGUGAAAUUAUUUUGGAACUGUAUCAGUGCUUUCUGACAAGAGCAUCUUUUAAAAUAUCCACGAUGUACAUACAUGUAUAUGAAAAAGUGACUUUUCACCGAAGUAACAUUUCGAGGAUAUCAUUCAAGUAAAUUUCAUAGACACAAACAUUGGGACCGUGUUUUAUGGAAAGCAGGCAGAUAAUUAACCGAGAUUGUUUCAAUGAUUUGACCUAGCGGCCUUAUGUUUUCACUCAAAUGACCAAGUUACAUUUUAAACAUACAAACAUUCUUAGCAAGAAUCAUACAAGCGAAGCAGAAAAUACGGCCUCUUCAGUGUUUACAAGGUGUUCCUGUUAUUUAAUCUAAUGCCAUAGGUUUUGACCUCAGCCACCAACAUUGUCAACUUGACAUAUAUUUCAUAGAGUCAACAGUCUGAAAUCCUUUUUUUAUUAUAUGUUCUCAAAAUAACCUGAAUUUCAUUGGCCGCAACCGCUCAUCAUCUUUCAAAAUAUAUUUCAUGUUUAAAGGUUAGUGGGGUUUCCCAAUUAAAGGCCUAUAUCCACUGCUAUGUAAGUGUACCCCCACCCACAAAUCCAAUAAACAACUCCAAUCUUAUCUUCUGCUUAUCAGCCAAUUAUGUAAUAAUAGCUGAUUAGAGGGUAAUUAGCUCAGCAGGGGUCCCAACUAGACCACGAAGAUGAAAACUAAAUGUGCAAUGGAGUUGAAAGAAGUUAAUAUUCCUUGGUGAAUGUGAAAUGAUAAUAAUAAUAAUAAUUAUUAUUAUUAUUAUUAUUAUUUAUUGUUAUAAUUGUUAUUAUUAUCAAUAAUUUUUAUUAUACAGGCAAUUAUUAA
Long non-coding RNA from Mercenaria mercenaria, 1941 nucleotides. RefSeq lists it as uncharacterized. The record is from RefSeq and is a predicted model, not a curated record. Lineage: Eukaryota; Metazoa; Mollusca; Bivalvia; Venerida; Veneridae. The transcript is spliced from 2 exons.